This 250-nucleotide long non-coding RNA is filed under the name Physcomitrium patens. RNAcentral's name for it is "long non-coding RNA (PPAT_LNC009492)". The record is from RNAcentral. Lineage: Eukaryota; Viridiplantae; Streptophyta; Bryopsida; Funariales; Funariaceae.
AAUUGGUUGAAAAGACCAGGACCUCCCGUCUUUCUGACCCACCAUCUUUUACUUUUCUUCCUUUUUCGCUUUUUUCUUUUUCUUUUUCUUUCUUUCCCUUUGGGGGGUACAGACAAUUAUUGGAGCCCAUCUUUAUCCUUCUUUGACGUGUCCACUCUAGGCCUCAGUUCUAUUGUUCCUCAGUUGCUGACUCAGCUUAGCCCUCUGCUACCCUCCCAUGCCCAAGGGCAUCGACUGCCCGAGAAAGAAA